GAUCAACGCUGGCGGCGUGCCUAAUGCAUGCAAGUCGAACGGGGUCCUCUUUGGGGGACUUACGUGGCGGACGGGUGCGGAACACGUGGGGAAUCUGCCCGUGGGCGGGGGAUAGCCUCCAGAAAUGGGGGGUAAUGCCGCAUGUGCGAGGGGACGCGUAGCGUCUUUUCGGAAAGAUUGGCUUCGGCCAGUCACCCACGGAGGAGCCUGCGGCCGAUUAGCUCGUUGGUGUGGUAACGGCGCACCAAGGCGAUGAUCGGUAGCUGGUCUGAGAGGACGGCCAGCCACACGGGGACUGAGACACGGCCCCGACUCCUACGGGAGGCAGCAGCAAGGAAUCUUCCGCAAUGGGCGCAAGCCUGACGGAGCAACGCCGCGUGCGGGAUGAGGCGCUUCGGCGUGUAAACCGCUUUUCCCGGAGAAGAAGGUGGGGGGAACUCCACUUGACGGUACCCGGGGAAUCAGGACCGGCUAACUACGUGCCAGCAGCCGCCGUAAAAC
RNAcentral lists this ribosomal RNA (501 nucleotides) under uncultured bacterium. RNAcentral's name for it is "bacterial SSU rRNA". It matches the Rfam family "Bacterial small subunit ribosomal RNA", at positions 28 to 526 of the family's 1533-position model. The record is from RNAcentral.